RNAcentral lists this ribosomal RNA (954 nucleotides) under Vibrio cholerae. RNAcentral describes it as "bacterial LSU rRNA". It matches the Rfam family "Bacterial large subunit ribosomal RNA", at positions 838 to 1795 of the family's 2925-position model. The record is from RNAcentral. Lineage: Bacteria; Pseudomonadati; Pseudomonadota; Gammaproteobacteria; Vibrionales; Vibrionaceae.
CUCGGAGAUAGCUGGUUCUCCCCGAAAGCUAUUUAGGUAGCGCCUCGGACGAAUACUACUGGGGGUAGAGCACUGUUAAGCUAGGGGGUCAUCCCGACUUACCAACCCUUUGCAAACUCCGAAUACCAGUAAGUACUAUCCGGGAGACACACGGCGGGUGCUAACGUCCGUCGUGGAGAGGGAAACAACCCAGACCGCCAGCUAAGGUCCCAAAGUAUUGCUAAGUGGGAAACGAUGUGGGAAGGCUCAGACAGCUAGGAUGUUGGCUUAGAAGCAGCCAUCAUUUAAAGAAAGCGUAAUAGCUCACUAGUCGAGUCGGCCUGCGCGGAAGAUGUAACGGGGCUAAGCAAUACACCGAAGCUGCGGCAAUGUCUUUUAGACAUUGGGUAGGGGAGCGUUCUGUAAGCCGUUGAAGGUGAAUCGUAAGGUUUGCUGGAGGUAUCAGAAGUGCGAAUGCUGACAUGAGUAACGACAAAGGGGGUGAAAAACCUCCUCGCCGGAAGACCAAGGGUUCCUGUCCAACGUUAAUCGGGGCAGGGUGAGUCGACCCCUAAGGUGAGGCCGAAAGGCGUAAUCGAUGGGAAACGGGUUAAUAUUCCCGUACUUCUGACUAUUGCGAUGGGGGGACGGAGAAGGCUAGGUGGGCCAGGCGACGGUUGUCCUGGUUCAAGUGCGUAGGCUUGAGAGUUAGGUAAAUCCGGCUCUCUCUAAGGCUGAGACACGACGUCGAGCUGCUACGGCAGUGAAGUCAUUGAUGCCAUGCUUCCAGGAAAAGCCUCUAAGCUUCAGAUAGUCAGGAAUCGUACCCCAAACCGACACAGGUGGUCGGGUAGAGAAUACCAAGGCGCUUGAGAGAACUCGGGUGAAGGAACUAGGCAAAAUGGUACCGUAACUUCGGGAGAAGGUACGCUCUUGAUGGUGAAGUCCCUCGCGGAUGGAGCUGACGAGAGUCGC